Molecule: long non-coding RNA, 813 nt
Organism: Micropterus dolomieu (smallmouth bass)
Lineage: Eukaryota; Metazoa; Chordata; Actinopteri; Centrarchiformes; Centrarchidae
Exons: 3
Source: RefSeq, a predicted model, not a curated record
UCCUUUACUCCAGCACAUGUUAUCAAUGUGUAAGGAGCACUUGGACUUUUGUCACUGAACACUUCAAAAAACUGUGAGCAAACUAGCGACCUGUUGCUCUGUUCGUCCAGGAUUGCAUACAGUUUAACUGCUUUGUCUCUCUGUUCAGCUGGAUAGACCUUUACAAGACAUAUUUUGGAGCAGGAUCGACCUGGCAGAUCUCCGCCGCAGACUUCUGUGCAUUUGGUGGUAACACAAGGUUGAUAAUGACACCAGCAAGGAGCGUUGUUUACUACAGUGUGCUGUGAUGCCGUUGUUGCUGCCCAAAAUAGAGAGAGUGAUGUUGAGAUGGAAUCAUAUACCAGUGACUUGAGUGAUGAGGAGGUGGUUGAAAAUGUUGAUGAAAUGGACAAAGAGAAUCAGACACCCAUUGAAUGUCCAGCUGAUGAUGAUGAUAAAGACAUCGAGCCAACCAACUUAAGCAACUAUGCCCAGGACCAGUAUCACUUUCUGAAAAAGGAUCAUUUAAUCAUUUCUAAUACUGAUUUGACUCUGGUCCAGAUGUCAGCAGUGGUGCUGAUGCUGAACAGGUGACUGUUCCACGCGCAACUAGCAUCCUCUCUCAUCCUGACAAACACAGCUGUCAACACAUCAAGGACACACUUCAGCCUUUGACAUCCAUAAUAGUGACAGUUGUCAGAGAUCCGUGACUGCUCAGAAGAGACCAUCCUUAGGUAAUGGGGGUCCACCAAAUGGGGUCCCAGCCAAGAAGUCAUGUGAACCACCAGUGGAGACAAGGUUUUCAUUCUGUUUUGUAUAUAAUAUUUUAUACGU